GACGAACGCUGGCGGCGUGCUUAACACAUGCAAGUCGAACGGAAAGGCCCUGCUUUUGUGGGGUGCUCGAGUGGCGAACGGGUGAGUAACACGUGAGUAACCUGCCCUUGACUUUGGGAUAACUUCAGGAAACUGGGGCUAAUACCGGAUAGGAGCUCCUGCUGCAUGGUGGGGGUUGGAAAGUUUCGGCGGGUGGGGAUGGACUCGCGGCUUAUCAGCUUGUUGGUGGGGUAGUGGCUUACCAAGGCUUUGACGGGUAGCCGGCCUGAGAGGGUGACCGGCCACAUUGGGACUGAGAUACCGCCCAGACUCCUACUGGAUGCAAGAGUCGGGAGUAUUGCACAAUGGGCGGCAGCCUGAGACAGCAACGCCGCGUGCGGGAUGACGGCCUUCUGGUUGUAAACCGCUUUCGCCUGUGACGAGGCGUGAGUGACGGUAAUGAAUAAAGAAGCACCGGCUAACUACGUG
This 468-nucleotide ribosomal RNA is filed under the name uncultured bacterium. RNAcentral describes it as "partial 16S ribosomal RNA". It matches the Rfam family "Bacterial small subunit ribosomal RNA", at positions 28 to 507 of the family's 1533-position model. The record is from RNAcentral.